ACAAUGGGCGCAAGCCUGAUCUAGCCAUGCCGCGUGAGUGAUGAAGGCCUUAGGGUCGUAAAGCUCUUUCGCCAGAGAUGAUAAUGACAGUAUCUGGUAAAGAAACCCCGGCUAACUCCGUGCCAGCAGCCGCGGUAAUACGGAGGGGGUUAGCGUUGUUCGGAAUUACUGGGCGUAAAGCGCACGUAGGCGGAUCAGAAAGUUGGGGGUGAAAUCCCAGGGGCUCAACCCUGGAACGGCCUCCAAAAC
This 249-nucleotide ribosomal RNA is filed under the name uncultured bacterium. RNAcentral's name for it is "partial 16S ribosomal RNA". It matches the Rfam family "Bacterial small subunit ribosomal RNA", at positions 368 to 633 of the family's 1533-position model. The record is from RNAcentral.